Molecule: ribosomal RNA, 560 nt
Filed under: uncultured bacterium
Lineage: Bacteria
Description: bacterial SSU rRNA
Rfam family: Bacterial small subunit ribosomal RNA
Source: RNAcentral
AGGAAUCUGCCAUUUAGUGGGGGACAACAUUCCGAAAGGAAUGCUAAUACCGCAUACGUCCUACGGGAGAAAGCAGGGGAUCUUCGGACCUUGGGCUAAAUGAUGAGCCUAAGUCGGAUUAGCUAGUUGGUGGGGUAAAGGCCUACCAAGGCGACGAUCUGUAGCGGGUCUGAGAGGAUGAUCCGCCACACUGGGACUGAGACACGGCCCAGACUCCUACGGGAGGCAGCAGUGGGGAAUAUUGGACAAUGGGCGGAAGCCUGAUCCAGCCAUGCCGCGUGUGUGAAGAUGGCCUUAUGGUUGUAAAGCACUUUAAGCGAGGAGGAGGCUACUUAGAUUAAUACUCUAGGAUAGUGGACGUUACUCGCAGAAUAAGCACCGGCUAACUCUGUGCCAGCAGCCGCGGUAAUACAGAGGGUGCGAGCGUUAAUCGGAUUUACUGGGCGUAAAGCGUGCGUAGGCGGCUUUUUAAGUCGGAUGUGAAAUCCCCGAGCUUAACUUGGGAAUUGCAUUCGAUACUGGGAAGCUAGAGUAUGGGAGAGGAUGGUAGAAUUCCAGGU